This 20-nucleotide ribosomal RNA is filed under the name Chaetocapnodium placitae. Its description in RNAcentral is "partial 28S ribosomal RNA". Lineage: Eukaryota; Fungi; Ascomycota; Dothideomycetes; Capnodiales; Capnodiaceae. RNAcentral also lists the same sequence under 2 other names. The record is from RNAcentral.
UUGACCUCGGAUCAGGUGGG